AAGCAUGAAACUUAAUUUAAAGAUACUAGGUUUUCUGCUUAAUUUUGUUCCUAUAACAAUGCUUA
Molecule: transfer RNA, 65 nt
Filed under: Omphalius nigerrimus
Lineage: Eukaryota; Metazoa; Mollusca; Gastropoda; Trochida; Tegulidae
Description: tRNA-Glu
Source: RNAcentral